RNAcentral lists this ribosomal RNA (414 nucleotides) under uncultured soil bacterium. RNAcentral's name for it is "bacterial SSU rRNA". It matches the Rfam family "Bacterial small subunit ribosomal RNA", at positions 26 to 429 of the family's 1533-position model. The record is from RNAcentral.
AGGAUGAACGCUGGCGGUAGGCCUAACACAUGCAAGUCGAACGGCAGCACGGUAAGAGCUUGCUCUUAUGGGUGGCGAGUGGCGGACGGGUGAGGAAUACAUCGGAAUCUACCUUUUGGUGGGGGAUAACGUAGGGAAACUUACGCUAAUACCGCAUACGCCCUUCGGGGGAAAGCCGGGGACCAGCAAUGGCCUGGCGCUGAUAGAUGAGCCGAUGUCGGAUUAGCUAGUUGGUGAGGUAAUGGCUCACCAAGGCGACGAUCCGUAGCUGGUCUGAGAGGAUGAUCAGCCACACUGGAACUGAGACACGGUCCAGACUCCUACGGGAGGCAGCAGUGGGGAAUAUUGGACGAAUGGGCGCGAAGCCUGAUCCAGCCAUACCCGCGUGGGUGAAGAAGGCCGUUCGGUUGUAAA